Molecule: transfer RNA, 84 nt
Filed under: Polyangiaceae bacterium
Lineage: Bacteria; Pseudomonadati; Myxococcota; Polyangiales; Polyangiaceae
Description: tRNA-Leu
Rfam family: tRNA
About the family: Transfer RNA (tRNA) molecules are approximately 80 nucleotides in length. Their secondary structure includes four short double-helical elements and three loops (D, anti-codon, and T loops). Further hydrogen bonds mediate the characteristic L-shaped molecular structure. tRNAs have two regions of fundamental functional importance: the anti-codon, which is responsible for specific mRNA codon recognition, and the 3' end, to which the tRNAs corresponding amino acid is attached (by aminoacyl-tRNA synthetases). tRNAs cope with the degeneracy of the genetic code in two manners: having more than one tRNA (with a specific anti-codon) for a particular amino acid; and 'wobble' base-pairing, i.e. permitting non-standard base-pairing at the 3rd anti-codon position.
Source: RNAcentral
GGCCCCUUGGCGAAAGCGGUAGACGCGGGGGACUUAAAAUCCCCGGCCCGAGAGGGCGUCCAGGUUCGAGUCCUGGAGGGGCUA